This 391-nucleotide ribosomal RNA is filed under the name Listeria monocytogenes. RNAcentral's name for it is "partial 23S ribosomal RNA". It matches the Rfam family "Bacterial large subunit ribosomal RNA", at positions 1239 to 1627 of the family's 2925-position model. Lineage: Bacteria; Bacillati; Bacillota; Bacilli; Caryophanales; Listeriaceae. The record is from RNAcentral.
UUCUAAGGGCGGUGAAGUCAGACCGGAAGGACUGGUGGAGCGCUUAGAAGUGAGAAUGCCGGUAUGAGUAGCGAAAGAAGGGUGAGAAUCCCUUCCACCGAAUAUCUAAGGUUUCCUGAGGAAGGCUCGUCCGCUCAGGGUUAGUCGGGACCUAAGCCGAGGCCGAUAGGCGUAGGCGAUGGACAACAGGUAGAGAUUCCUGUACCAGUGCUAAUUGUUUAACCGAUGGGGUGACACAGAAGGAUAGGGAAUCGCACGAAUGGAAAUGUGCGUCCAAGCAGUGAGUGUGAGAAGUAGGCAAAUCCGCUUCUCGCGAAGCAUGAGCUGUGAUGGGGAAGGAAAUUAAGUACGGAAGUUCCUGAUUUCACGCUGUCAAGAAAAGCCUCUAGGA